Molecule: transfer RNA, 75 nt
Filed under: Candidatus Peregrinibacteria bacterium
Lineage: Bacteria; Candidatus Peregrinibacteriota
Description: tRNA-Lys
Rfam family: tRNA
About the family: Transfer RNA (tRNA) molecules are approximately 80 nucleotides in length.
Source: RNAcentral
GGGUGAGUAGCUCAGUGGUAGAGCAGGAGCCUCUUAAGCUCUUGGUCGUGGGUUCGAGACCCACCUCACCCACCA